This 69-nucleotide transfer RNA is filed under the name Meriones libycus (Libyan jird). Its description in RNAcentral is "tRNA-Ser". It matches the Rfam family "tRNA". Rfam says of the family: Transfer RNA (tRNA) molecules are approximately 80 nucleotides in length. Their secondary structure includes four short double-helical elements and three loops (D, anti-codon, and T loops). The record is from RNAcentral. Lineage: Eukaryota; Metazoa; Chordata; Mammalia; Rodentia; Muridae.
GAGAAAGACAUAAGGGUUAUGAGGCUGACUUGAAAUCAGUUUUAGGGGGUUCGAGUCCUUCCUUUCUUA